GAUGAAGAACGUAGCGAAAUGCGAUAAGUAGUGUGAAUUGCAGAAUUCAGUGAAUCAUCGAAUCUCUGAACGCACAUUGCGCCCUUUGGUAUUCCAAAGGGCAUGCCUGUUCGAGCGUCAUUUGUACCCUCAAGCUUUGCUUGGUGUUGGGCGUCUUGUCUCUAGCUUUGCUGGAGACUCGCCUUAAAGUAAUUGGCAGCCGGCCUACUGGUUUCGGAGCGCAGCACAAGUCGCACUCUCUAUCAGCAAAGGUCUAGCAUCCAUUAAGCCUUUUUUUCAACUUUUGACCUCGGAUCAGGUAGGGAUACCCGCUGAACUUAAGCAUAUCAAUAAGCGGAGGA
This 341-nucleotide unclassified non-coding RNA is filed under the name soil metagenome. Its description in RNAcentral is "partial contains 5.8S ribosomal RNA, internal transcribed spacer 2, and large subunit ribosomal RNA". The stretch from base 1 to 120 matches the Rfam family "5.8S ribosomal RNA", at positions 35 to 154 of the family's 154-position model. The record is from RNAcentral.